This 253-nucleotide ribosomal RNA is filed under the name uncultured bacterium. RNAcentral describes it as "partial 16S ribosomal RNA". It matches the Rfam family "Bacterial small subunit ribosomal RNA", at positions 524 to 776 of the family's 1533-position model. The record is from RNAcentral.
UACGUAGGUGGCGAGCGUUGUCCAGAUUUAUUGGGCGUAAAGCGCGCGCAGGUGGUGCGGUAAGUCUGUCGUGAAAUCUCCCGGCUCAACUGGGAGGGUGCGGUGGAGACUGCCGGACUGGAGGCACUCAGAGGCCGGUGGAAUUCCCGGUGUAGUGGUGAAAUGCGUAGAGAUCGGGAGGAACACCAGUGGCGAAGGCGGCCGGCUGGGGGUGACCUGACGCUGAGGCGCGAAAGCGUGGGGAGCGAACCGG